CAAAGCCCUGGGGGCGUGAUGUGGGGGGGCCCCCACCUCUGAGCCCGGGCUGCACCGUCUGUCCACGGCUCCUCUUGCACUGCCGUGCUGGUCUCGUACACGUCAAGGUCACAUCCAUUCGCUUUCUUCUCAAAAUGAAGAUUCUGACAGGGGAAGACCAGCUGGGCAGAACUAAACAAGCCACAGACUUCUUUCUCCAGCCAAGUGGAGGGGUCUGCACUUCCAAGCGGGAGCCACCCCCCCCCAACCCGCCCACCUGUGUCCAGAGACACCCCUCCAGGCCUGUCCUGCUGUGAUUCCCACAACUGGCAUCAUCAGCCUCCCGCCGGAGGCCCGAAUUAGGUUGCACGUUUGCGAAAGUUCAUGUUUUGAUUCCCAGGCAGAGCUCUUUGAAGGACUGGGGCAGAGAAGUGAUCCCACCUGUGUCAUAUCAUCUCCCAAACUGUCCCUCAGAGUCCAGACUCCUCCCCUCAGGUGAGUCCUCA
This is a long non-coding RNA of Panthera uncia (snow leopard), 485 nucleotides long. RefSeq lists it as uncharacterized. The record is from RefSeq and is a predicted model, not a curated record. The transcript has 3 exons. NCBI's taxonomy places the organism in Eukaryota, Metazoa, Chordata, Mammalia, Carnivora, Felidae.